Molecule: ribosomal RNA, 254 nt
Filed under: uncultured bacterium
Lineage: Bacteria
Description: partial small subunit ribosomal RNA
Rfam family: Bacterial small subunit ribosomal RNA
Source: RNAcentral
AGGACGAACGCUGGCGGCGUGCUUAACACAUGCAAGUCACGGGGGCCCGCAAGGGUAACCGGCGAACGGGUGCGUAACACGUGAGCAACCUGCCUUUGUGUGGGGGAUAGCCGGGCUAACGCCCGGGUAAUACCGCAUACGGUUGCCGAGGGGAGUCCCUUGGCAAAGAAACCUCCGGGGCACAAAGAGGGGCUCGCGGCCUAUCAGCUAGUUGGAGGGGUAAUGGCCCACCAAGGCGACGACGGGUAGCUGGU